GCUGCACUUACUGCAGGAUUCAUACCCAGAUCUGCUUUACUUUCCAUAAGUAACUUAUCUAUUGUGAGCACAGAUUUUACUAGCUCAACAAUCAGAAGUUAACCUUUGUCCCCACACCCCAUAAAACAUAUGCAACAAAUAAAGCUGAGGAGCUGAUAUAUGUGUACAAAUACUACACAGGGAAACAACAUCCUUUAAGAUGACAAAAUUAAAAAAACCUUUAAGAUGGUGAGAGGUACUCGGAUUCCAGAGUUAGGAGAGCCAGGAGAAUAAGAGAAAGCCCAUGGAAGACAGCAUUUGGCCUCGCCUUGCAAGAAAGAAAAAAGUAGAUUACUGGCUGGGCACAAUAGCUCAUGCCUGUAAUCCCAGCACUUUGGGAGACCGAGGCAGGUGGAUCACCUGAGGUCAGGAGUUCGAGACCAGCCUGGCUGACAUAGUGAAACCCCGUCUCUACUAAAAAUACAAAAAAUUAGCCGGGCGUGGUGGCAGGAGCCUGUAAUCUCAGCUACUCAGGAGGCUGAGGUAGGAGAAUCGCUUGAACCCAGGAGGCGGAGAUUGCAGUGAGCUGAGAUCGCGCCAUUGCACUCCAGCCUAGGUGACAAGAGCAAGACUCCAUCUCAAAAAAAAAAAAAAAAAAUCAGUGGAUUACCUUAAUCUACAGAUUAAAUUUUCAAAUACAAUUUUCUCUUGGUAUCUGUGGGAGAUUGGUACCAGGACCCCUGAGGAAACCAAAAUACAAGGAUGCUAAGGCCCCUUAUAUAAAAUGGUGUAGUAUUUGCAUAUAACCUAUGCACAUCCUCCUGUAUACUGUAAAUCAUCUCUAGAUUAUUUAUAAUGCCUUAGACACUGUAAUGCUAUGUACAUAUUUAUUAUACUGUAUUGCUUUUUAUUUGUGCUUUUUUGUUGUAUUGUUAUUUUUAAUUGUUUGUAAAAAAUAUUUUCAAUCUGCCAUUGGUUGGAGCUGCUGAUGUGGAACAGCAGGAUCUGGAAGGCCAACUGUAUUGUUUACUUCUCACUUAGCAAUUUCCUAGGAUUCCUUUUGUUUGAUUAAGAACUUCUAUUUUUAAAAAAAUAGAAAUACAGAAUGUUUUCCAGUGUUUAAAACAAUCACCAUGUUUUCCUUUUGACCUUAAUAAAUUGUAAAAAAGAUCAAUUGCUAAGUUUUGAAGUUUCAUUUCCUUGUCCUUUGAUGACAUUAACUCUAUUUGGGAACAAGGAUUAUGUAAAACUCAUUGAGUCAAAAUUGAAUGACUAGAAUACCAGCUA
Molecule: long non-coding RNA, 1266 nt
Filed under: Homo sapiens (human)
Lineage: Eukaryota; Metazoa; Chordata; Mammalia; Primates; Hominidae
Description: HSALNT0339563
Source: RNAcentral